UCCUACGGGAGGCAGCAGUGGGGAAUCUUGCGCAAUGGGCGAAAGCCUGACGCAGCAACGCCGCGUGCGGGAAGAAGGCUUUCGGGCUGUAAACCGCUUUCAGUAGGAACGAAACUGACGGUACC
RNAcentral lists this ribosomal RNA (125 nucleotides) under uncultured Actinomycetes bacterium. Its description in RNAcentral is "uncultured actinobacterium partial 16S ribosomal RNA". It matches the Rfam family "Bacterial small subunit ribosomal RNA", at positions 337 to 479 of the family's 1533-position model. The record is from RNAcentral. Lineage: Bacteria; Bacillati; Actinomycetota; Actinomycetes.